Long non-coding RNA from Brassica rapa (field mustard), 1637 nucleotides. RefSeq lists it as uncharacterized. Lineage: Eukaryota; Viridiplantae; Streptophyta; Magnoliopsida; Brassicales; Brassicaceae. The record is from RefSeq and is a predicted model, not a curated record.
AACAAAACAAUAAAAGAGAAACAUAAAAUAUUGCUAAAAGACUAAAUUUUAUCGAUGGUAUUAAUACUCGUGAAUAUAUUCAAUAUGAAAAAGAAAGAAUUAUACAAAAAUACAUCAUCAACAACAACAACAACAACAACAACAACAACAACAACCAUCUUCAGUUACACAAAAAAAAAUUAGACAAUAUUUGAAAUUUUGAAGGUUUCGGAUCAAAUUUACGUGACUAUUAGUGUUGUUGUAAUAUUUAAAUUUGUGUAAUAGUUAUGUCUUCAUGUAAUUUUAAAAAAGUUUUUUUUGUUAAGUUUUUUGUAUAUUUUUUUUUAUAUAAAUCUAGUUUUAAAUAUUUAAAAUCUUAUUUUGAAGUUUUAUUUAAUUUUAUGUAUAAACUUAAAUGUUGUAAACGAAACUUAAAAUAUUUAUGAGAUAUAAUUUUUAUAAGGAUUAAAAAAAAUAAACAAGAAAAUAUUUAUGAAUAAUAAAUAUGAUGUGUAAUUGUAGAGUAGUGAAGUUUUGAAGUUUUGAAGUAGUGAAACUUCAAAUAUAGAGUUUUUGAAGUUUGAAGUUUGAAGUUUCAUUUUAAAGAGGAAAAAACUUCAUAUUUAAAGUUAUAGAAUGUCUUUUAGAGAUGCUCUUAGUCUAACUGUUUAAGAAAUUUGAAGUUAAGAUGCAACAUUUGCAUCGCCAUUUCACAUUUCCCAAAACUCGAAUAACCUUUAAUAAUAUACAUUGAUUCAUGUUUACUUGAUUAUACAGUAUACAUAUAAAUGGACAACUCAUAAAAACUUUAGUUUCAAUACAUAUUUUUAGAUAUAAAAAUUAUUAGAAGCUAAAGUUUGUCAUUUGAUACGAUAAAGUUGGAGAAAAAUUAAGUUCACACGAUAAGGUCUUUUCGAACUGAACAGACGUUUUUUUUUUCAUGUUGCAAAUAGUCGCGAACGUUGCCUUUAGCGAGGCUGCAUCUUUUCCGGUAAGUUUCGUCGUUUGGUGUCCAAUACCACAAACGUACGUAGCACUGUCAUGCCCAUAGUCCAAAGCCAAGUCAACUUCAUACAUAAACAUAAGUGGUGCAUGUGUACUUUGUGAACUGUGAUUCAAGCUUAGAUAUAUCUUGAGCUGUGAUUAAUUAUGACUAUUUUGGUACAUUAUGACACCAGUGACAUUUGGUGAUACCCAUUUGUUGUAACGCAAUGUUAUCCUUGGUUUUUCCAAUUUCCUAUUGCAACCGGUGCAAGAAACGUAAGACAACUCAUUUUGUUGUAAGACACGGACGAUCUUAGCUUUACACAAAAAGUUAGCUUCAUGAUUCUUAGCAGAGGAGGUUAGAGGAAACAUUAGUGGGGAUUUUGAAAUUGCGGCCGUAACAGAAUAAAGAGUUAUGGACACCUGGUCAGUGGACUUGGAUAGGACGAUAGGUAGGCUAGUAUUAGACGUCAAUAAAUCUUGCAUUUGAGGAGGAUAUUAAAACUAAAAAUAAGUAUUAGUGUUGGGCAGAAGCGAUAUUCAAAUAAGCUCUAACUCGCAGUUGUAUACUGAAGCAUUAGCAUCAAGUUCGAAAAUAUGAACAUAGAGACACAUAAACGUGAGACUUUUAACUGACUUAUUCGUAAACUCUUGGAUGGCAAGAACUUUGGUGU